GUGAGGCAUCACUGUUAGCAUUCUGUACAAUCCAUGGGAGAGCACGAUCUUCAAUCAGAAGAGAUCUUCCAGUUUUACUCCCUGUAUAAUUUCAGAACCAAAUUACCCCACCCUUGAAGAUAAAGAAAUCAUAAAUAUGUUUUUUCAAAUAUG
Molecule: long non-coding RNA, 153 nt
Organism: Hibiscus syriacus
Lineage: Eukaryota; Viridiplantae; Streptophyta; Magnoliopsida; Malvales; Malvaceae
Exons: 3
Source: RefSeq, a predicted model, not a curated record